UUCUACUAACUGGUUGAUUCAUUGCAGGAAAUGUGCAUAUAAACAACUGUAAUGAGACCGUUAUUGGUUGCAGUUAAGUGUGACUGUCUUUGUCAUUAUCUCUCUUAUCUCCAGUCAUGCACAGCAACACCCACUCUACCACCGGUGUCCUGAGUGUCCACAGCAAAACUCAGCCAUCGAUGAGCCGCUGUGAAUGUGAGAUAAAGACUGAACAAACCUGUUGGAGGUGUUGGAGAGGGACAGGGCUGAGUCUCCAGAAAAUAGGUGUUUGUUUAGGUAGAGUGGAUGUGUCUGAAUUCUCUUAGGGUUCUCCAGCUUCCUCCCACAGUCCAAAGACAUGCAGAUUGGGUGUAUCUCCAGACUCCAGAGCUGCAGGACCCAAAUCUAUCAUUAUUAUUAUUAUUAUGAAUAAUAACAACAUAAUUGCAUCUAUAAGUCACCGCAGGAAUCACGGGGGCAGGGUAUAUCCAGACGCACUUGGAAGAGACAGCACCCCCAUCCAGAGUCUCUAUACCGGUUCCCCUCAGACUCCUCGCUCCUCAGUCAUUUAGACCCCUCACUCCUUCGUCCCUUCAUCGCUCAUUCCUUCGACCCUUUACCCCUUCAGCCCUCUACCCUCCUAUUGUUUUACUCAUUGCAAGAUGCAUUGUAUUCAAAAAACUUUAAUAUUCAUAAGUUGGAGGUGUGGUCCUGUUAGUGAAUCGUUGUUUGCUUUCACUCAAGAAUUAGUAAUGUAAUUCCAUUUCUCUGGGCUUAGGUCAGGUUACAGACAUCUCAAGUCACAGAACUAAUCAAAAAACGUUACUGUAUGCUGAGGCUGAUUCAUUUUCACUUGCAAACCUGGGGGUAUUUAAGUUAGUUGAGUUUGCUAAAUCCGUGUCUUCAUUAAAACAAUUAUUGUUAAUGCAAAUUCCUAUUUCACAGAACACUUAUGGACUUGAAAUUGCUGUAAAAAUCACUGGUGUUACCAUUAACAAUGUGGCUCUGUUCUCUUCAAGUGCAUUCACAAUAUUUUUCAAUUCAACUCUGGGUCAGCUUUUUAAGCAGAGGUUUAACUACUUCUACCUUAAGGCCUUUGGUAGGUAGCCUUGGAACAGUUUAUUAAAUGUAAUACAUCCUUAAACAAACUUGAUGGAAUAUGAUCUAAGAGACAUAUUGAUGGCUUGGGUGAAGUGUUAUCUAUUGGGGAAAAGCAGUCUAGAUAUAAAUAAGGCGAUACUGUUGGUUCUGAGGCUACUGUGGUGGACAGUGUAUCUGUGCUAUUAGUGGGAAGAAGGUGAUGCUUUUUUUCUCUGAUGGUAAUAAUCGUAUUAAUAAAGAAGCUCAUGAAAUCAUCACCACUAAGAAUUAGAGGAAUACUCUGUCAGCCUGGCUAUUUUGCUGAAGAGGAACUUGCGGUUGUUUUUAUUUUCUGAUGCUGUGUGUGUGUGUGUGUAAGUCAGUGAGUGAGUGAGAGAGAGAUAACUACAACGUGCUGGAUAAGCUAUUAUUGGGUCUUUAUAAAUAAGUUCUUUACCUGUUUAUAUUGAACGGUAUAUUUGUAUGACAUGUCUUCAGUGUAUUGUUAAUGCUGAUAUGUCAUGGUUCUCCACAGCUGUCUGCUGCAGUCAGGGCUGAGCUGAGUUCAUCAUGCAAGCAAGACUUCUUUCGUUCACAUGACCUGUCAGAACUUUAUUUAUUUAUGUUGCAACAUAUCAGAUGCAAUGUAUUGAUUUAAACCAAUGAUACACUGAUAUUUUGUCCUUGAUUAUUUGAGAAGUCUUUUAGGAGCCUCAUCACUUUGAUCCAGCUCAGCUUUUUGAUUUCACUCAUAUUUAUAAAUAUCUUUAUUUUCAAUAACGUCACUGUAAAAGACCAAACUGUAUUUAAUAUUAUAAAAUUUUAAAAAAAGGUGAAGAGCCACAUGUAGUUUGUCCAAUAGAUGAGCUGAUGAGCAUGCCACAUGUAUGUUUACUGAAGUACAGCAAAUAAGAUCUGUGUUCAUGAUGGAUUAAAAUAAAUUAAAUCUUUUAUCACGUGACAUUCAUUUGUUUUGUAAGUUAAACUCAACUUAUUAAUGGUGAUGAAUAAUUUAUAUUUUGGAUGUUUAUAGUUAAUUUUAUGUCACAUCAUCAGACUUCCAUUUGUAGAUGAAUUGAAGGCUGCAUGGUGACUCUUGUUAUGAAACAGUUCCACGUUUAGAAUAUUUCCACAUUACUGCAUAACCACGUGUUUUCAUGAAAUACAUUCAUUCCCCGCAUAUUUGACAAGGAAAAAGAAAAAAACAAUUGAUAGAUGUUCAAGAACUUUAACUCAUUAAAACAUGUUACUUUACAUUUGGAUGAAUGAGAUGAAAGAACACAUUUAAAAUAAAACAUAAGAACUGUACAAUAUCACUAACAGGUCGGACCGAAGCUUCACCGGCCCUGGCGGUGGGUUUUCACGGUGUCAAUUUUUUAUUU
Molecule: long non-coding RNA, 2441 nt
Organism: Scophthalmus maximus (turbot)
Lineage: Eukaryota; Metazoa; Chordata; Actinopteri; Pleuronectiformes; Scophthalmidae
Exons: 3
Source: RefSeq, a predicted model, not a curated record